Molecule: ribosomal RNA, 920 nt
Filed under: uncultured bacterium
Lineage: Bacteria
Description: bacterial SSU rRNA
Rfam family: Bacterial small subunit ribosomal RNA
Source: RNAcentral
AGAGUUUGAUUCUGGCUCAGAGUGAACGCUGGCGGCAGGCCUAAUACAUGCAAGUCGAACGGCAGCACAGCAGAGCUUGCUCUGUGGGUGGCGAGUGGCAGACGGGUGAGGAAUACAUGGGAAUCUGCCCAGUCGUGGGGGAUAACGUAUGGAAACGUACGCUAAUACCGCAUGCGCCCUAAGGGGGAAAGCCGGGGACCGCAAGGCCUGGCGCGAUUGGAUGAGCCCAUGUUCGAUUAGCUGGUUGGCGGGGUAAAGGCCCACCAAGGCGACGAUCGAUAGCUGGUCUGAGAGGAUGAUCAGCCACACUGGAAUUGAGACACGGUCCAGACUCCUACGGGAGGCGGCAGUAGGGAAUAUUGGACAAUGGGCGCAAGCCUGAUCCAGCCAUGCCGCGUGAGUGAAGAAGGCCCUCGGGUUGUAAAGCUCUUUUGUUGGGGAAGAAAAGCAUCUGGUUAAUACCCGGGUGUUCUGACGGUACCCAAAGAAUAAGCACCGGCUAACUUCGUGCCAGCAGCCGCGGUAAUACGAAGGGUGCAAGCGUUACUCGGAAUUACUGGGCGUAAAGCGUGCGUAGGUGGUUUGUUAAGUCUGAUGUGAAAGCCCUGGGCUCAACCUGGGAAUGGCAUUGGAUACUGGCAGGCUAGAGUGCGGUAGAGGGUAGUGGAAUUCCCGGUGUAGCAGUGAAAUGCGUAGAGAUCGGGAGGAACAUCCGUGGCGAAGGCGACUACCUGGGCCAGCACUGACACUGAGGCACGAAAGCGUGGGGAGCAAACAGGAUUAGAUACCCUGGUAGUCCACGCCCUAAACGAUGCGAACUGGAUGUUGGGCUCAACUUGGAGCUCAGUAUCGAAGCUAACGCGUUAAGUUCGCCGCCUGGGGAGUACGGUCGCAAGACUGAAACUCAAAUGAAUUGACGG